The sequence is a ribosomal RNA, 376 nucleotides long. It matches the Rfam family "Eukaryotic small subunit ribosomal RNA", at positions 582 to 975 of the family's 1831-position model.
AUUCCAGCUCCAAUAGCGUAUAUUAAAGUUGUUGCAGUUAAAAAGCUCGUAGUUGAACUUCUGGCGGAUGUUUUCGCUGGCUUCGGUCGCGUUAAUGUCUGUCAUCCGCUAGGGAACCUCGUUCGGUCUUCAUUGGUCGGCGGGAGGAUCUGGCAUUUUACUUUGAAAAAAUUAGAGUGUUCAAGGCAGGCAAUCGCCAUGAAUACACAAGCAUGGAAUAAUGGAAUAGGACUUAUGGUCAUUUUAUUGGUUAUUGACUGUAAGUAAUGAUUAAUAGGGACAGUUGGGGGCAUUAGUAUUAAUUGUCGGAGGUGAAAUUCUUGGAUUUAUUAAAGACUAACUUAUGCGAAAGCAUUUGCCAAGGAUGUUUUCAUCA